This 261-nucleotide ribosomal RNA is filed under the name uncultured archaeon. Its description in RNAcentral is "partial 16S ribosomal RNA". It matches the Rfam family "Archaeal small subunit ribosomal RNA", at positions 720 to 982 of the family's 1478-position model. The record is from RNAcentral.
CCUAACAUUAGACUACCCCUGUAGUCCCAGCCGUAAACUAUGCGCGUUAGGUGUAUCGGUGACCACGAGUCACCGAGGUGCCGAAGGGAAACCGUGAAACGUGCCGCCUGGGAAGUACGGUCGCAAGGCUGAAACUUAAAGGAAUUGGCGGGGAGCACCACAACGGGUGGAGCCUGCGGUUUAAUUGGAUUCAACGCCGGACAUCUCACCGGAUAAGACAGCUGAAUGAUUGUCAAUCUGAAGGUUUUACAUGACUAGCUG